GAAAAAGCUGUCUAGGGUUCCGCUGGUUCCACCAUGAGCGACAUUAUUGCGAGUCGUGGGAGAGUCAGGCCAGGUCCGAGAGAUGGCGUGCGAUGGACCCGUACAGCUGCGGUAAGCGGCGGCGAGCCGGACAUGCGCAUACACGGAAGGAUAAAAGCCUGGGAGAU
RNAcentral lists this small RNA (167 nucleotides) under Paenibacillus curdlanolyticus. Its description in RNAcentral is "Guanidine-I sequence". It matches the Rfam family "Guanidine-I riboswitch aptamer". From Rfam's summary of the family: This family represents a conserved RNA structure found upstream of the ykkC and yxkD genes in Bacillus subtilis and related genes in other bacteria. The function of this family is unclear although it has been suggested that it may function to switch on efflux pumps and detoxification systems in response to harmful environmental molecules. The record is from RNAcentral. RNAcentral also lists the same sequence under 1 other name. Lineage: Bacteria; Bacillati; Bacillota; Bacilli; Caryophanales; Paenibacillaceae.